UAGAGUUUGAUCCUGGCUCAGGACGAACGCUGGCGGCGCGCCUAACACAUGCAAGUCGAACGAGCGAGAGAGAGCUUGCUUUCUUGAGCGAGUGGCGAACGGGUGAGUAACGCGUGAGGAACCUGCCUCAAAGAGGGGGACAACAGUUGGAAACGACUGCUAAUACCGCAUAAGCCCACGGUGCCGCAUGGCACAGAGGGAAAAGGAGCAAUCCGCUUUGAGAUGGCCUCGCGUCCGAUUAGCUAGUUGGUGAGGUAAUGGCCCACCAAGGCGACGAUCGGUAGCCGGACUGAGAGGUUGAACGGCCACAUUGGGACUGAGACACGGCCCAGACUCCUACGGGAGGCAGCAGUGGGGAAUAUUGCACAAUGGGGGAAACCCUGAUGCAGCGACGCCGCGUGGAGGAAGAAGGUCUUCGGAUUGUAAACUCCUGUUGUUGGGGAAGAUAAUGACGGUACCCAACAAGGAAGUGACGGCUAACUACGUGCCAGCAGCCGCGGUAAAACGUAGGUCACAAGCGUUGUCCGGAAUUACUGGGUGUAAAGGGAGCGCAGGCGGGAAGACAAGUUGGAAGUGAAAUCUAUGGGCUCAACCCAUAAACUGCUUUCAAAACUGUUUUUCUUGAGUAGUGCAGAGGUAGGCGGAAUUCCCGGUGUAGCGGUGGAAUGCGUAGAUAUCGGGAGGAACACCAGUGGCGAAGGCGGCCUACUGGGCACCAACUGACGCUGAGGCUCGAAAGUGUGGGUAGCAAACAGGAUUAGAUACCCUGGUAGUCCGCACGGUAAACGAUGGAUGCCCGCUGUUGGUCUGAAUAGGUCAGCGGCCAAGCGAAAGCAUUAAGCAUCCCACCUGGGGAGUACGCCGGCAACGGU
RNAcentral lists this ribosomal RNA (872 nucleotides) under uncultured bacterium. Its description in RNAcentral is "bacterial SSU rRNA". It matches the Rfam family "Bacterial small subunit ribosomal RNA", at positions 1 to 895 of the family's 1533-position model. The record is from RNAcentral.